CCUACGGGAGGCUGCAGUGGGGAAUAUUGCACAAUGGGGGAAACCCUGAUGCAGCAACGCCGCGUGAAGGAAGACGGUUUUCGGAUUGUAAACUUCUGUUCUUAGUGAAGAAUAAUGACGGUAGCUAAGGAGCAAGCCACGGCUAACUACGUGCCAGCAGCCGCGGUAAUACGUAGGUGGCAAGCGUUGUCCGGAAUUACUGGGUGUAAAGGGAGCGCAGGCGGGAAGCCAAGUCAGCUGUGAAAACUAUGGGCUUAACUUGUAGACUGCAGUUGAAACUGGUUUUUGUGAGUGAAGUAGAGGUUGGCGGAAUUCCGAGUGUAGCGGUGAAAUGCGUAGAUAUUCGGAGGAACACCGGUGGCGAAGGCGACCAACUGGGCUUUAACUGACGCUGAGGCUCGAAAGUGUGGGGAGCAAACAGGAUUAGAUACCCGAGUAGUC
This 441-nucleotide ribosomal RNA is filed under the name uncultured bacterium. Its description in RNAcentral is "partial 16S ribosomal RNA". It matches the Rfam family "Bacterial small subunit ribosomal RNA", at positions 338 to 795 of the family's 1533-position model. The record is from RNAcentral.